Molecule: ribosomal RNA, 1372 nt
Filed under: uncultured bacterium
Lineage: Bacteria
Description: bacterial SSU rRNA
Rfam family: Bacterial small subunit ribosomal RNA
Source: RNAcentral
GAUGAACGCUGGCGGCGUGCCUAAUACAUGCAAGUCGAGCGAACGGACGAGAAGCUUGCUUCUCUGAUGUUAGCGGCGGACGGGUGAGUAACACGUGGAUAACCUACCUAUAAGACUGGGAUAACUUCGGGAAACCGGAGCUAAUACCGGAUAAUAUUUUGAACCGCAUGGUUCAAAAGUGAAAGACGGUCUUGCUGUCACUUAUAGAUGGAUCCGCGCUGCAUUAGCUAGUUGGUAAGGUAACGGCUUACCAAGGCAACGAUGCAUAGCCGACCUGAGAGGGUGAUCGGCCACACUGGAACUGAGACACGGUCCAGACUCCUACGGGAGGCAGCAGUAGGGAAUCUUCCGCAAUGGGCGAAAGCCUGACGGAGCAACGCCGCGUGAGUGAUGAAGGUCUUCGGAUCGUAAAACUCUGUUAUUAGGGAAGAACAUAUGUGUAAGUAACUGUGCACAUCUUGACGGUACCUAAUCAGAAAGCCACGGCUAACUACGUGCCAGCAGCCGCGGUAAUACGUAGGUGGCAAGCGUUAUCCGGAAUUAUUGGGCGUAAAGCGCGCGUAGGCGGUUUUUUAAGUCUGAUGUGAAAGCCCACGGCUCAACCGUGGAGGGUCAUUGGAAACUGGAAAACUUGAGUGCAGAAGAGGAAAGUGGAAUUCCAUGUGUAGCGGUGAAAUGCGCAGAGAUAUGGAGGAACACCAGUGGCGAAGGCGACUUUCUGGUCUGUAACUGACGCUGAUGUGCGAAAGCGUGGGGAUCAAACAGGAUUAGAUACCCUGGUAGUCCACGCCGUAAACGAUGAGUGCUAAGUGUUAGGGGGUUUCCGCCCCUUAGUGCUGCAGCUAACGCAUUAAGCACUCCGCCUGGGGAGUACGACCGCAAGGUCGAAACUCAAAGGAAUUGACGGGGACCCGCACAAGCGGUGGAGCAUGUGGUUUAAUUCGAAGCAACGCGAAGAACCUUACCAAAUCUUGACAUCCUUUGACAACUCUAGAGAUAGAGCUUUCCCCUUCGGGGGACAAAGUGACAGGUGGUGCAUGGUCGUCGUCAGCUCGUGUCGUGAGAUGUUGGGUUAAGUCCCGCAACGAGCGCAACCCUUAAGCUUAGUUGCCAUCAUUAAGUUGGGCACUCUAAGUUGACUGCCGGUGACAAACCGGAGGAAGGUGGGGAUGACGUCAAAUCAUCAUGCCCCUUAUGAUUUGGGCUACACACGUGCUACAAUGGACAAUACAAAGGGCAGCGAAACCGCGAGGUCAAGCAAAUCCCAUAAAGUUGUUCUCAGUUCGGAUUGUAGUCUGCAACUCGACUACAUGAAGCUGGAAUCGCUAGUAAUCGUAGAUCAGCAUGCUACGGUGAAUACGUUCCCGGGUCU